Long non-coding RNA from Photinus pyralis (common eastern firefly), 635 nucleotides. RefSeq lists it as uncharacterized. The record is from RefSeq and is a predicted model, not a curated record. Lineage: Eukaryota; Metazoa; Arthropoda; Insecta; Coleoptera; Lampyridae. The transcript is spliced from 4 exons.
UAUGUAUUCACCGACUGUUAUUCAUCUAUUCGUGCUGUUACUAGUGUGCGAUGCAAAAUCGGUGGGACCUCGCGGUGCCAUAACUCUUGACACAGUUAAAACAUGUGAGGACAAUCCAGGAGGGGAGGUUGAGUUGGAAUUAAAUCUUUAUAGUUUGGACUCUAAAGGUGCAAAGGCAAUAUCCUUAACAAUCAAUAGCACAAUUCCACUUGAUGACUCCUUAACUUAUAUCAUGGAAGUUCAAAGAUGGGAUGGGGGAUGGAAAUUAGAAUAUACGCACACCUCAUUGCUAUGUGCAGAUAUUACUCGUUUUGUGCCAAAUAUAUGGAAACGGCUUGCGGAGGCCAGUGAGCCAAAGCUGCCUGAAAAAUGUGGUGUAGAACCAGGUUACUACGUCGUAAAGGAAUAUACAGCAUUGGCCAUGGAUUUUGCAGUACCUUACGUUUACUACGGAGAGAUAAUGUUGAAAGUAUCGAUCUUUCAAGGUCGUAAAUUAAUCUUAUGCUUCUUUGUUAAGGGAAAUUCGCAAAUACCGCAGAAACCCUUUUAAAUUUUGGAAUUGUGAAAUUCUGAAUGUGAUUAUUCCUUGUUAUUUCGCAGAGUAUAGGUAAAAAUAAACUCUAGCAGCUCUUUUA